UACAGGGGGUGCAAACGUUGCUCGGAAUUAUUGGGCGUAAAGCGCGCGUAGGCGGCUACUUAAGUCGGAUGUGAAAGCCCCUGGCUCAACUGGGGAAGUGCACCCGAAACUGAGUGGCUUGAGUACUAAAGAGGGUCGCGGAAUUCCCGGUGUAGAGGUGAAAUUCGUAGAUAUCGGGAGGAACACCGGUGGCGAAGGCGGCGACCUGGGUAGAUACUGACGCUGAGGCGCGAAAGCUAGGGGAGCAAACAGG
This 253-nucleotide ribosomal RNA is filed under the name uncultured bacterium. RNAcentral's name for it is "partial 16S ribosomal RNA". It matches the Rfam family "Bacterial small subunit ribosomal RNA", at positions 524 to 776 of the family's 1533-position model. The record is from RNAcentral.